UACGUAGGUCCCGAGCGUUGUCCGGAUUUAUUGGGCGUAAAGCGAGCGCAGGUGGUUUAUUAAGUCUGGUGUAAAAGGCAGUGGCUCAACCAUUGUAUGCAUUGGAAACUGGUAGACUUGAGUGCAGGAGAGGAGAGUGGAAUUCCAUGUGUAGCGGCGAAAUGCGUAGAUAUAUGGAGGAACACCGGUGGCGAAAGCGGCUCUCUGGCCUGUAACUGACACUGAGGCUCGAAAGCGUGAGGAGCAAACAGG
RNAcentral lists this ribosomal RNA (252 nucleotides) under uncultured bacterium. RNAcentral's name for it is "partial 16S ribosomal RNA". It matches the Rfam family "Bacterial small subunit ribosomal RNA", at positions 524 to 776 of the family's 1533-position model. The record is from RNAcentral.